This 805-nucleotide ribosomal RNA is filed under the name uncultured bacterium. RNAcentral's name for it is "bacterial SSU rRNA". It matches the Rfam family "Bacterial small subunit ribosomal RNA", at positions 1 to 810 of the family's 1533-position model. The record is from RNAcentral.
CCCUUAGAGUUUGAUCCUGGCUCAGAUUGAACGCUGGCGGCAGGCCUAACACAUGCAAGUCGAGCGGAUGACGGGAGCUUGCUCCUUGAUUCAGCGGCGGACGGGUGAGUAAUGCCUAGGAAUCUGCCUGGUAGUGGGGGACAACGUUUCGAAAGGAACGCUAAUACCGCAUACGUCCUACGGGAGAAAGCAGGGGCCCUUCGGGCCUUGCGCUAUCAGAUGAGCCUAGGUCGGAUUAGCUUGUUGGUGAGGUAAUGGCUCACCAAGGCGACGAUCCGUAACUGGUCUGAGAGGAUGAUCAGUCACACUGGAACUGAGACACGGUCCAGACUCCUACGGGAGGCAGCAGUGGGGAAUAUUGGACAAUGGGCGAAAGCCUGAUCCAGCCAUGCCGCGUGUGUGAAGAAGGUCUUCGGAUUGUAAAGCACUUUAAGUUGGGAGGAAGGGCAGUAAGUUAAUACCUUGCUGUUUUGACGUUACCGACAGAAUAAGCACCGGCUAACUCUGUGCCAGCAGCCGCGGUAAUACAGAGGGUGCAAGCGUUAAUCGGAAUUACUGGGCGUAAAGCGCGCGUAGGUGGUUUGUUAAGUUGGAUGUGAAAGCCCCGGGCUCAACCUGGGAACUGCAUCCAAAACUGGCAAGCUAGAGUACGGUAGAGGGUGGUGGAAUUUCCUGUGUAGCGGUGAAAUGCGUAGAUAUAGGAAGGAACACCAGUGGCGAAGCGACCACCUGGACUGAUACUGACACUGAGUGCGAAAGCGUGGGGAGCAAACAGAUAGAUACCCUGGUAGUCACGCGUAACGAU